CUUGACUGUAGCCUGGAAUUGGGUUCGGGCUUUUCUUGCGCAGACUAGGUGGGAGGCUAUGAAGAUUUCCUUCCGGGGAAGUUGGAGCCAACAGUGAGAGACCACUCUGGAAAGGCUAGAAUCCUCAUGGUGAUCCUUGAAUCAGGACACUUGACAGUUUCAGGCGGGCAGUUUUUCUGGGGCGGAAGCCUCAUAAAGGGUAACUGAGGCGCGCAAAGGUCCCCUCAGUCUGGACGGAAAUCAGACAACGAGUGUAAAGGCAAAAGGGGGCUUGACUGCAAGACCUACAAGUCGAGCAGGAGCGAAAGCUGGCCUUAGUGAUCCGACGGUGCCGCAUGGAAGGGCCGUCGCUCAACGGAUAAAAGUUA
Molecule: ribosomal RNA, 368 nt
Filed under: uncultured organism
Description: bacterial LSU rRNA
Rfam family: Bacterial large subunit ribosomal RNA
Source: RNAcentral